AACGAACGCUGGCGGCAUGCCUAACACAUGCAAGUCGAACGAGACCUUCGGGUCUAGUGGCGCACGGGUGCGUAACGCGUGGGAAUCUGCCUAAAGGUUCGGAAUAACAGUUAGAAAUGACUGCUAAUACCGGAUGAUGUCUUCGGACCAAAGAUUUAUCGCCUUUAGAUGAGCCCGCGUAGGAUUAGCUUGUUGGUGGGGUAAAGGCCUACCAAGGCGACGAUCCUUAGCUGGUCUGAGAGGAUGAUCAGCCACACUGGGACUGAGACACGGCCCAGACUCCUACGGGAGGCAGCAGUGGGGAAUAUUGGACAAUGGGCGAAAGCCUGAUCCAGCAAUGCCGCGUGAGUGAUGAAGGCCUUAGGGUUGUAAAGCUCUUUUACCCGGGAUGAUAAUGACAGUACCGGGAGAAUAAGCCCCGGCUAACUCCGUGCCAGCAGCCGCAGUAA
This 449-nucleotide ribosomal RNA is filed under the name uncultured bacterium. RNAcentral describes it as "partial 16S ribosomal RNA". It matches the Rfam family "Bacterial small subunit ribosomal RNA", at positions 29 to 523 of the family's 1533-position model. The record is from RNAcentral.